Long non-coding RNA from Leptidea sinapis, 703 nucleotides. RefSeq lists it as uncharacterized. Lineage: Eukaryota; Metazoa; Arthropoda; Insecta; Lepidoptera; Pieridae. The record is from RefSeq and is a predicted model, not a curated record. The transcript is spliced from 3 exons.
UAUAAUGGAAUCUAUAUAGAAUAUAUUAGUGUGGUUUAUAUACAAGUCAGUGUAUCCAGCGAUGUUAAUCUGUGCUCCGAAACAAUGGGAUCAACUAAGGCGCUACUAGUACUCGGAGCUUUAUGUGCCUUACUGGCUAUAGGUCACUGUGAAGGCUUGAAAGAGAAAAUAAGUGAAGUUUUUAGAGAUGUGGGUAGGAGUGACAGUGGUUCUAAGGACUCGAGGAGUCAAUCAGGACGAUCCACCAACAGCGAGUCUGGCGUUUUAAGUGAAACUCGCGGUGAGGGAAGUGCAAUAACUGGGAGUUCAGGAGGUAUGGAAGAUUCUAGCGGUUUUGAUCGUAGAUAUAGCGGUCAAAGAAGUUCAGGUGAAUCUAGCUACGGUAGGGAGCAGGGUUCCAGAGGAAGAAGUGGUGAUUCCGGCAGCAGCAGAAGUUCUAGUGAAUCUAGAAGCAAUGAAAGAUCACGAGGUGGUGUUGGCAGAUAUAAUUAAAGGGAUAUAAAAUCUCAGUCAUAUAUCUAUUGAAUAAAUUAUAUAAAUUGAUUCCAUUCGAGUCCCGCAUCAUUCAUAAAUAUUGGUAAAAAUUAUAUUAAUUGUAAUUUUAACUUGAAUCAAACCCCUGUAUUGGAAUACAAAUAUUAAAUUGUUUAAAUUUCUAAAAAUAAAUUUGAGAAUUAAAAUUACUGCAGUUUGUCUUAAACUA